CACGUAGGGUGCGAGCGUUGUCCGGAAUUAUUGGGCGUAAAGAGCUUGUAGGCGGUUUGUCGCGUCUGCUGUGAAAUUUCGGGGCUCAACCCCGAACUUGCAGUGGGUACGGGCAGACUAGAGUGUGGUAGGGGAGACUGGAAUUCCUGGUGUAGCGGUGAAAUGCGCAGAUAUCAGGAGGAACACCGAUGGCGAAGGCAGGUCUCUGGGCCAUAACUGACGCUGAGGUGCGAAAGCGUGGGGAGCAAACAGG
Molecule: ribosomal RNA, 253 nt
Filed under: uncultured bacterium
Lineage: Bacteria
Description: partial 16S ribosomal RNA
Rfam family: Bacterial small subunit ribosomal RNA
Source: RNAcentral